This 453-nucleotide ribosomal RNA is filed under the name uncultured Phenylobacterium sp. Its description in RNAcentral is "partial 16S ribosomal RNA". Lineage: Bacteria; Pseudomonadati; Pseudomonadota; Alphaproteobacteria; Caulobacterales; Caulobacteraceae. The record is from RNAcentral.
CACGAAGUUAGCCGGGGCUUCUUCUCCGGGUACCGUCAUUAUCGUCCCCGGUGAAAGAAUUUUACAAUCCUAAGACCUUCAUCAUUCACGCGGCAUGGCUGCGUCAGGCUUUCGCCCAUUGCGCAAGAUUCCCUACUGCUGCCUCCCGUAGGAGUCUGGGCCGUGUCUCAGUCCCAGUGUGGCUGAUCAUCCUCUCAGACCAGCUAUAGAUCGUCGCCUUGGUAGGCCUUUACCCCACCAACUAGCUAAUCUAACGCGGGCCGCUCCAAUGGCGAUAAAUCUUUCCCCCGAAGGGCACAUACGGUAUUAGCUGAAGUUUCCCUCAGUUGUUCCGUACCAAAGGGCACGUUCCCACGCGUUACUCACCCGUCCGCCGCUGCCCCCGAAGGGACCGCUCGACUUGCAUGUAUUAGGCCUGCCGCCAGCGUUCGCUCUGAGCCAGGAUCAAACUCU